RNAcentral lists this ribosomal RNA (246 nucleotides) under uncultured Lactobacillus sp. RNAcentral's name for it is "partial 16S ribosomal RNA". It matches the Rfam family "Bacterial small subunit ribosomal RNA", at positions 116 to 354 of the family's 1533-position model. The record is from RNAcentral. Lineage: Bacteria; Bacillati; Bacillota; Bacilli; Lactobacillales; Lactobacillaceae.
CGUGGGUAACCUGCCCAAGAGAUCGGGAUAACACCUGGAAACAGAUGCUAAUACCGGAUAACAACAGAUGAUGCCUAUCAACUGUUUAAAAGAUGGUUCUGCUAUCACUCUUGGAUGGACCUGCGGUGCAUUAGCUAGUUGGUAGGGUAACGGCCUACCAAGGCGAUGAUGCAUAGCCGAGUUGAGAGACUGAUAGGCCACAUUGGGACUGAGACACGGCCCAAACUCCUACGGGAGGCAGCAGGG